GAUGAACGCUGGCGGCGUGCCUAAUACAUGCAAGUCGAACGGAGUAUGCAGCAAUGUAUGCUUAGCGGCGGACGGGUGAGUAACACGUGGGUAACCUGCCUCAAAGUGGGGGAUAGCCUUCCGAAAGGGAGAUUAAUACCGCAUAACAUAUUUUAAUCGCAUGAUUGAGAUAUCAAACGAGUAAUCGGCUUUGAGAUGGACCCGCGGCGCAUUAGCUAGUUGGUGAGGUAACGGCUCACCAAGGCGACGAUGCGUAGCCGACCUGAGAGGGUGAUCGGCCACAUUGGAACUGAGACACGGUCCAGACUCCUACGGGAGCUG
Molecule: ribosomal RNA, 321 nt
Filed under: uncultured Bacillota bacterium
Lineage: Bacteria; Bacillati; Bacillota
Description: bacterial SSU rRNA
Rfam family: Bacterial small subunit ribosomal RNA
Source: RNAcentral